CGCGUAUUUUGCGAUGGCGGAGCUCGACCGCCGGUCGCGGAGAUGAUCGCCUUUAUCGACGAUCACCGAAAGGCUCUCAACAGGGUGCACACCUUG
RNAcentral lists this non-coding RNA (96 nucleotides) under Methylobacterium bullatum. RNAcentral describes it as "ALIL". It matches the Rfam family "ALIL pseudoknot". Lineage: Bacteria; Pseudomonadati; Pseudomonadota; Alphaproteobacteria; Hyphomicrobiales; Methylobacteriaceae. The record is from RNAcentral.